Molecule: long non-coding RNA, 260 nt
Organism: Amphimedon queenslandica
Lineage: Eukaryota; Metazoa; Porifera; Demospongiae; Haplosclerida; Niphatidae
Exons: 2
Source: RefSeq, a predicted model, not a curated record
GUCAAAGGGAUGGUAGGCAUUUUCACCAUGUGUGAGCACGUGGUUAUAGUAUACGGAUUCCGUUUCCCUUUGGUAUUGUAUCUACAGUCUCAAUGGAAUGCAGAGUCCACUCAUAGAUAUAGGACUGUUGUGGACUGCAGUGAAGAAGUGAAAUCAAUCCCCUCUCUGCUCUCCAUUUAGUGCCCACCUCUUAUGAAAUUUGAUUGUCAACUGGACUACAAUUAGUAGACUCUACAGACACACAAUGACACAAAGAAACA